RNAcentral lists this transfer RNA (71 nucleotides) under Planctomycetota bacterium. RNAcentral's name for it is "Planctomycetes bacterium (rhizosphere metagenome) tRNA-Ala". It matches the Rfam family "tRNA". Rfam says of the family: Transfer RNA (tRNA) molecules are approximately 80 nucleotides in length. Their secondary structure includes four short double-helical elements and three loops (D, anti-codon, and T loops). Lineage: Bacteria; Pseudomonadati; Planctomycetota. The record is from RNAcentral.
GGGCCUGUGGUCCAAGGGGAAGACGCCAGCCUGGCGUGCUGGUGAUGCGGGUUCGACUCCCGCCGGGUCCA